Molecule: ribosomal RNA, 420 nt
Filed under: uncultured bacterium
Lineage: Bacteria
Description: bacterial SSU rRNA
Rfam family: Bacterial small subunit ribosomal RNA
Source: RNAcentral
GAAUAUUGGACAAUGGGCGGGAGCCUGACCCAGCCAUGCCGCGUGCAGGAAGACUGCCCUAUGGGUUGUAAACUGCUUUUAUACGGGAAGAAACACCCCCUUGCGAGGGGGCUUGACGGUACCGUAGGAAUAAGGAUCGGCUAACUCCGUGCCAGCAGCCGCGGUAAUACGGAGGAUCCGAGCGUUAUCCGGAAUCAUUGGGUUUAAAGGGUCCGUGGGUGGACGGUUAAGUCAGGGGUGAAAUCCCGCAGCUCAACUGUGGAAUUGCCCUUGAUACUGGCCGUCUUGAGUCAUUGUGAAGUGGUUGGAAUAUGUAGUGUAGCGGUGAAAUGCAUAGAUAUUACAUAGAACACCGAUUGCGAAGGCAGAUCACUAACAAUGCACUGACACUGAUGGACGAAAGCGUGGGGAGCGAACAGG